This is a non-coding RNA of Paramuricea clavata, 150 nucleotides long. NCBI's taxonomy places the organism in Eukaryota, Metazoa, Cnidaria, Anthozoa, Malacalcyonacea, Plexauridae. The record is from the annotation of a GenBank genome assembly.
UUAGCAGACUUGUUACAAGGUUGUUCUAACAAGUCUGAUACAGUCAUGAUAUAACAAGAAUGUUACAAGGUUGACGACACAAGGUUGGAACAAUUGUUAUAUCAUGAAUGUAUCGGACUUGUUGGAACAACCUUGCAACAAGUCUGAUAA